RNAcentral lists this transfer RNA (77 nucleotides) under Phrynosoma platyrhinos (Desert horned lizard). Its description in RNAcentral is "tRNA-OTHER". Lineage: Eukaryota; Metazoa; Chordata; Lepidosauria; Squamata; Phrynosomatidae. The record is from RNAcentral.
GCCCAGGUAGCAUGGGGCAGUGAUUUGAGCACUGGACUAUGAUUCUGGAGACCAGGGUUCAAAUCCCAGCUCAGGCA